RNAcentral lists this ribosomal RNA (397 nucleotides) under uncultured bacterium. RNAcentral describes it as "partial 16S ribosomal RNA". It matches the Rfam family "Bacterial small subunit ribosomal RNA", at positions 523 to 918 of the family's 1533-position model. The record is from RNAcentral.
AUACGUAGGGGGCGAGCGUUGUCCGGAAUGAUUGGGCGUAAAGGGCGCGUAGGCGGCCCGGUAAGUCUGGAGUGAAAGUCCUGUUUUUAAGAUGGGAAUUGCUUUGGAUACUGCCGGGCUUGAGUGCAGGAGGGGUAAGUGGAAUUCCCAGUGUAGCGGUGAAAUGCGUAGAGAUUGGGAGGAACACCAGUGGCGAAUGCGAGUUUCUGGAUUGUAACGGAAGAGGAGGGGAGAAAGUGUGGGGAGCAAAAAGGAUGAUAUACCCUGGUAGUCCACGCUGUAAACGAUGAUUACUAGGUGUAGGGGGUAUCGACUCCCUCUGUGCCGCAGGUAACACAAUAAGUAUUCCGCCUGGGGAGUACGGCCGCAAGGUUGAAACUCAAAGGAAUUGACGGGG